RNAcentral lists this non-coding RNA (161 nucleotides) under Clostridium cochlearium. Lineage: Bacteria; Bacillati; Bacillota; Clostridia; Eubacteriales; Clostridiaceae. The record is from RNAcentral.
CAGGCACCAUUUUAGGUUUAAAAGGGAAUGUGGUUUAAUUCCACAGCAGCCCCCGCUACUGUAAUUGAGGACGAAUCUUCCACAAACCACUCUUUCAAAAAAGGGAAGGGGAAGGGGAAGAGGAGAGUGAAUCAUGAGCCAGGAGACCUGCCUGCAUAUGA